GAACAGAGAGCAGUGUGUAAAAGACAUCAAUAUCAGAAACAGCCACAUAACUGCUCCACAAAGCAUAAAAUGAGUGUAACUUAUAAAAUCAGGAAAAAUACCUAAAUUCCUCGUAGUCAUGGAGCAGAGGACAGCCAGAUUUGAGUGUUCCAUAUCCAUAUGAUGUCCCAGAACUGUCCCCUCUGCGCACCAUUUUCUGUGGUGAUGAGGACCUUCCUGUGCUGGAGGAAGUCUCCGAGAUCUGCAUCGUGGGAGCUGGGCCAGUGUAGGAGCACAGCAAGGCUGUGAGGGAGCUUGCUGUGAGCCAGCUCUGCCCUAGAGCACGGCUCACUACUAAAAUCCCAAACCCCAUCCUGGGAGGAGCAGAUGGAAGUCAGAUGUGGAGCCCUCUGUCUCCUCAGGGCUGACUAGACAUGAGGACAGGGUGGGCUCUCUGUGAACUGUCCUUGUGGCAUGAUGCACACAUGGAGACACACUGAGGAGCAGGCACCUGUACAAAUAUGAAGUGAAAAACUGCCACUCCAGUGUCGCUCUCUUAUGCUAACCUACCUCCCUCUCUGUCUGUCAUAGCGCGGACAGGACCUAACAUGCAGGAAAAACCUCCUGCUCUCCCCAGGCACACAGUGCUCUGGCAGAAGGGUCACCAUCUGUCUUGGUCUCAUUCUCCAGGACAGGAGGCACAGAGAAAAACCUGUCUGUGGCAGUGGGGCUUCUCAUCCUUGAUGUCCUCCAACCACAGGCAUCACGUGAGGUUUGGUGUCUGACAGCCUGGUCCUGCGUGGUCAGGAUCCCCUAUGGGAGCAGAUGUGGAAGUCACACUGGAGGGGCCAGGUGCUGCCCAUCACAGACUUGGUCCCUCUGUGCUCUGAAAUCUGAGUCCUUCCCUCAGGGUCAGGACUUGGGGAGGGAAUGCAAAUCUCUUCCAGCUCCUCCCCUCUUGGGUUGAAAAACCCAGCAGGGCCUGGGUCAGGACACCAGUGUCACCAUGGACAGGAUUUGUUCCCUUCUUCUGCUGCUGACCGUCCCUGCCUGGGUCAUGUCCCAGGUCACCCUGAAGAAGUCUGGCCCUGGAUUGGUGACCCCCACCCAGACCCUCAGGCUGACCUGCUCCUUCUCUGGCUUCUCAUUGAGCACAUAUGGUGUAUGUGUAG
RNAcentral lists this long non-coding RNA (1151 nucleotides) under Chinchilla lanigera (long-tailed chinchilla). RNAcentral describes it as "lncRNA (ENSCLAG00000022918.1)". Lineage: Eukaryota; Metazoa; Chordata; Mammalia; Rodentia; Chinchillidae. The record is from RNAcentral.